RNAcentral lists this ribosomal RNA (433 nucleotides) under uncultured bacterium. Its description in RNAcentral is "partial 16S ribosomal RNA". It matches the Rfam family "Bacterial small subunit ribosomal RNA", at positions 29 to 507 of the family's 1533-position model. The record is from RNAcentral.
AACGAACGCUGGCGGCAUGCCUAACACAUGCAAGUCGAACGAGACCUUCGGGUCUAGUGGCGCACGGGUGCGUAACGCGUGGGAACCUGCCCUUAGGUUCGGAAUAACUCCCCGAAAGGGGUGCUAAUACCGGAUAAUGUCUUCGGACCAAAGAUUUAUCGACUUUGGAUGGGCCCGCGUUGGAUUAGCUAGUUGGUAGGGUAAAAGCCUACCAAGGCGACGAUCCAUAGCUGGUCUGAGAGGAUGGUCAGCCACACUGGGACUGAGACACGGCCCAGACUCCUACGGGAGGCAGCAGUGGGGAAUAGUGGACAGUGGGCGAAAGCCUGAUCCAGCAAUGCCGCGUGAGUGAUGAAGGCCUUAGGGUUGUAAAGCUCUUUUACCCGGGAUGAUAAUGACAGUACCGGGAGAAUAAGCUCCGGCUAACUCCGUG